RNAcentral lists this microRNA precursor (84 nucleotides) under Bombyx mori (domestic silkworm). Its description in RNAcentral is "mir-2807 microRNA precursor family". It matches the Rfam family "mir-2807 microRNA precursor family". Lineage: Eukaryota; Metazoa; Arthropoda; Insecta; Lepidoptera; Bombycidae. The record is from Rfam by way of RNAcentral.
UUAACUCAAAUUUGUUCGGAAUUGAAACUGAUACCUACGUUUGCCGCUAGGGGCGCUGUUCAAACUGCAUACAAAUUUGAGUUA